UGGUCGGGAUAGCUCAGCUGGUAGAGCAGAGGACUGAAAAUCCUC
Molecule: transfer RNA, 45 nt
Filed under: Primulina roseoalba
Lineage: Eukaryota; Viridiplantae; Streptophyta; Magnoliopsida; Lamiales; Gesneriaceae
Also listed under: 6 other names
Description: partial tRNA-Phe
Rfam family: tRNA
About the family: Transfer RNA (tRNA) molecules are approximately 80 nucleotides in length. Their secondary structure includes four short double-helical elements and three loops (D, anti-codon, and T loops).
Source: RNAcentral